UUGCGUCUUAGCUCAGUUGGUAGAGCGCACCCCUGAUAAGGGUGAGGUCACUGGUUCAAGUCCAGUAGAUGCAACCAG
This 78-nucleotide transfer RNA is filed under the name Erwinia phage vB_EamM_Stratton. Its description in RNAcentral is "tRNA-Ile". It matches the Rfam family "tRNA". From Rfam's summary of the family: Transfer RNA (tRNA) molecules are approximately 80 nucleotides in length. Their secondary structure includes four short double-helical elements and three loops (D, anti-codon, and T loops). The record is from RNAcentral. Lineage: Duplodnaviria; Heunggongvirae; Uroviricota; Caudoviricetes; Chimalliviridae.